UGCUUUUCGUCUGUAUGCUGUAAUCAGAUUUCUGUGGAAUCGAAGCACGCGAGACUUUAAAAACAGACGCCCCGCCCCCAGAUGACGUCAGCGCGAAUGUUGUUGUUUGGGGCUGUUUAAUGAAUGACAGACGGAUGCCAAAGUACAAGGUCAUGGACCUCGACUGUCAAAGCCAACCUCUUCACAUUGUUGAGUCUAUGGAUGGAACUUUUCCCCAAAAAAAGCACCACAGUAGUGAGAGACUGACGCAGUGGGCAUAUCUGAAUUUCCUCUAAAGCAAUUGUGCUGGAGACAGUGGUCUUGUGGUGGUCCACGAGCGCAGGGCUGUGGGUCUGCAUUGCUCCAGUGUGCAGUUACAUGCAAGACAGGUGGCUGUGGUCAAACACGGACCCAGACUGAAGGAAUGUGAUCUCUACUUUGUUAAUUUGAUCUCUACUUUUGUAAUUUGUGAUGUAAACGGAAACUUUGAAACAAAUUUAAAUAUGACAAAAUAGCAACACAAUUGCCAACCGAUUGGUUAUAAAUGCUAAAGUUUGUCAAUGCUCAGCAAGGAAUUGAUGGUUAGUAGUAUUUUUCAAGUUUCAAUUCAAGUUUAUUUGUAUAGUGCUUUUUAUGAUACAAACUGUUGCAAAGCAACUUUACAGUAAAUUAAAUUCAGUUAAUUUUUUCAGUAAUUGUUUUUAAUUGGUUGCCAUCUUUGACCAUUUUCACAAAAAUUUCAGGCCCCCCGAUCAGUGCUCUUCAGAUGCUUCAUAGCUCCUCCUACCGUAUAACAGUGAAAACUCGGAAAACUCUCAAUGGUGGGGACGCAUAUAUUGCAGCUGUCAGAAGAACAGUUGACAACAACUGAGCACAUCUCCAGCGUGAGCAGGAGCACAGAGAUAAAAGAAGAGGACAACACAAUGAUGUUUGUGACCAAACGGCCAUGUGAUGACAGCUGUGCUAGAAUAAAGCAGAUCUACACCACAGACCUGGACAGCAACAGUCAAACAUGACAACUCCUACCUCAGGUUCAACAAACUCAACAGCAUCCAGAAGCUCAUUGUAAGGACAAAGUAAAUCAUUAUAAAUGAUGAACUUGGAAAAAUACCACAUCACUGUUGUAUUGAUGUAUUUGAAUAUUUUCUUUUUGCUUUACAUUUAUGAUAAAAAAUAAAACUUUAAUACGUAUAAAUGUUUUUUAU
Long non-coding RNA from Carassius auratus (goldfish), 1184 nucleotides. RefSeq lists it as uncharacterized. The transcript has 5 exons. The record is from RefSeq and is a predicted model, not a curated record. NCBI's taxonomy places the organism in Eukaryota, Metazoa, Chordata, Actinopteri, Cypriniformes, Cyprinidae.